Molecule: long non-coding RNA, 522 nt
Organism: Drosophila innubila
Lineage: Eukaryota; Metazoa; Arthropoda; Insecta; Diptera; Drosophilidae
Exons: 2
Source: RefSeq, a predicted model, not a curated record
UCAUCGCGAGCCGCUUAAUUCGAAAUAUGUCUAAGUUUUGGAUUUUGUUGUUACUCAGUCAAUAUGCACAUAUUGUGAUAUGUGCCAAAGAUACUCAUAUGUGUAUUAGAGAUGUGGAAGUAUCUUAUACUGUGACAGAGCGUGUUCCCCUGGACGCUUAUGAGGACUUUGCGCCUUUUCUUAAAAAAUUGGAUGUGCAAGGCGAAAUGAGAGUUGUUACCAAAACUAAAUUAGAGUCCCGUCAGGAUUGCUGCGAGGGCUAUCAGCGCACAGCGAUAGAGAGCGAGGGUUGUCAACCUGUGCCAACACCGAUAAUGUCAAAAAGCCCUGAAUUUAAAGAAAUUCCAUUUACUUUAAUGUGUGCUGUUUUAAUUUUGUAUAAUUGGCAGUAAUUGUUUCAAAUGCCAUUGUGAAAUAUAACUGUUAUUAAAUAUGUGCAAAUUCGAUUUCACCAUAGAAUUUAUGUACAGAAUCUGAAGCUAAGAAUAAAAUUCAUUUGAUUAAUCUGUCUACAGAAAUUCA